GCAAAAUUCAACUUUCCUUUGCAAACCCGUUUUGAAUCUGGUGUGGAGAAUCGCCAUCUCUCCCACUCAAAGCCGUUUAUGGGCCCACGCCUCUGCAGCCGAAGUAUUUCCCGGACAAAAAUGGGGUUGGCCAGGAACCUCCAUCUCUGCGUAUUAUUAAUGCAUGGCGUUCAAGCGUGCUUUUUUUUUUUUUCCUUUUCUUUCCCGCACCCUGACUGGUUGUGGAUCCCGAUUGGUAGCUCGUUUACUUUUUCACGAAGAAUUGACUUUUGCAGGAGUUGUUUUCUCGACCCCUCACAACGGGCGUUCACCACCACACCAGAGGAUCAAUCCCGAGAGUGGACCAACCCAC
Molecule: small RNA, 352 nt
Filed under: Histoplasma capsulatum var. duboisii H88
Lineage: Eukaryota; Fungi; Ascomycota; Eurotiomycetes; Onygenales; Ajellomycetaceae
Description: Histoplasma capsulatum H88 hypothetical RNA
Source: RNAcentral